GGGGAAAGAGAAGCGCGGCGCGAAGGGCCGCGGGCGACCCGGGAAGGGAGGAGGGAGGCUUGGGAGGCUGGCGGGCGGUUUUAUUGUUUCCUUUCGCCCUCCUCCUCCCGCGCCUCGGCCCCGGCGUCACUGGAAAGCCGCCCGAGCCGCCCGGCGGCUGGUUAUUUAUAGCGCGGGCUGCGCGCGCGUCACGGAGCCCGGCCCGGCUGACGGGGCCGCUGACGCGCUUGGCCGCGGGGCCGAGUCCGCGGGGCUGCGCGCCGGGCGCCGGCGACAAUGGGCUUCUGUGUGUGCAGCUGCUGUCGCCGCCGGGGGCCGGGGGAGGGGGGCGGGCGACUCCCCGGCUCCCCUCUCUGUCGGCCGCGAGCCCCCGAAAGUAUGUCGAGAGAGGGGGAUCUAUCCAGCCGGGGGCGACCACUUUGUGAGCCCCGGGGAGCGGGACCCGUACCACGCGCGUCCAGCUGGGGAUGCGGUGACCGAGGGGCCGGGAGCGCCGGGCAGGUUCGCGCCGUGGACGCCCCCGCCCUGCGGGAGGAGGGGCUGGCGCGGAUUUUAGGGACUUCCUGGGAUGCGGAGACCGGCUCUGAACCAUCCCCUUUCUGCUGCGGGGAGCUGGGGAAGCUUGCUCUGGAGCGUCUCUCACGUGGCAGGCAGGCAGAGAACUUGCUGUACCUUCUAGGAAAUUACAAUCGAUUUGUAAUGCACUUUCGCUAAUUGAGAGUUCAAAAUUAAACUUUAAUAAAGCAUUUGUGUCGUCUCGUCUAAUUGUGAAA
Theropithecus gelada (gelada) is the source of this 773-nucleotide long non-coding RNA. Lineage: Eukaryota; Metazoa; Chordata; Mammalia; Primates; Cercopithecidae. The record is from Ensembl.